Molecule: non-coding RNA, 69 nt
Organism: Dipodomys ordii (Ord's kangaroo rat)
Lineage: Eukaryota; Metazoa; Chordata; Mammalia; Rodentia; Heteromyidae
Source: Rfam
GGUAGGUAGCUCAGUGGUAGAGUGCUUGCCUUGCAUGCAUGAGGCCCUGGGUUCAAUUCCUCAGCACCA